UUCACGGAGAGUUUGAUCCUGGCUCAGGACGAACGCUGGCGGCGUGCUUAACACAUGCAAGUCGAACGAUGAACCACUUCGG
RNAcentral lists this ribosomal RNA (82 nucleotides) under Streptomyces olivaceus. Its description in RNAcentral is "partial 16S ribosomal RNA". It matches the Rfam family "Bacterial small subunit ribosomal RNA", at positions 1 to 83 of the family's 1533-position model. RNAcentral also lists the same sequence under 2 other names. Lineage: Bacteria; Bacillati; Actinomycetota; Actinomycetes; Kitasatosporales; Streptomycetaceae. The record is from RNAcentral.